Armillaria borealis is the source of this 95-nucleotide non-coding RNA. The record is from the annotation of a GenBank genome assembly. Lineage: Eukaryota; Fungi; Basidiomycota; Agaricomycetes; Agaricales; Physalacriaceae.
UCUCUGGUAGUAUAUCGGUUAGUACACGCGCCUGUCAUGUCCGAAUCUUGUGUCCAAUUUCGCGCGAAAGCUGGGUUCGACUUCCAGCCAGAGAG